RNAcentral lists this ribosomal RNA (2981 nucleotides) under Candidatus Margulisiibacteriota bacterium. RNAcentral's name for it is "bacterial LSU rRNA". It matches the Rfam family "Bacterial large subunit ribosomal RNA". Lineage: Bacteria; Bacillati; Candidatus Margulisiibacteriota. The record is from RNAcentral.
AAUCAAGAUAUUAAGGGCGUAUGGUGGAUACCUUGGCAACGAAAGCCGAUGAAGGACGUGGAAAGCUGCGAUAAGCUUCGGGGAGCCGCUAACAGGCUUUGAUCCGGAGAAUUCCGAAUGGGGAAACCUAUCCAGGGUUAUGCUUGGAUAUCACUAUCUGAAUACAUAGGGUAGUGAAGGUAAGUGGGGGAACUGAAACAUCUUAGUACCCCGAGGAAAAGAAAUUAAAUCAAAGAUUCCCCUAGUAGCGGCGAGCGAACGGGGAUCAGCCUAAACCUGUCAUAUGUUAGUAGCUUACAGGCGCUGUAUGAUGGGGGUUGUAGGAUUUUUCUAGAGACGGCUGUUAACGUCUCGGGAAGUCAGAAAAAAAUAUCUUAAGUGAAAUGUUUGGAAAAAUGUGCCAAAGAAGGUGAAAGCCCUGUAACAUAAAAGAUAUUUUCUUCCUGGGAAAAGUCCUGAGUACCACGAGACACGUGAAAUCUUGUGGGAAUCUGGGUGGACCAUUAUCCAAGGCUAAAUACUUUCGUUGACCGAUAGUGAACUAGUACCGUGAGGGAAAGGUGAAAAGAACCCCGGGAGGGGAGUGAAAUAGAACAUGAAACCAUAUGCUUACAAGCAGUCGGAGCACAAUUUAGUUGUGUGACGGCGUGCCUAUUGAAGAAUGUGCCGGCGACUUACUGUUGGUAGCAAGGUUAAGGUUUAUGCCGGAGCCGUAGCGAAAGCGAGUCUGAAUAGGGCGUUUAGUUGCUAGCAGUAGACCCGAAACCGGGUGACCUAUCCAUGGGCAGGGUGAAGCAAGGGUAAUACCUUGUGGAGGCCCGAACCGGUGAAUGUUGAAAAAUUCUCGGAUGACCUGUGGAUAGCGGAGAAAUUCCAAUCGAACUCGGAGAUAGCUGGUUCUCCUCGAAAUGACUUUAGGGUCAGCCUCGGAGGAAUGCCAUUGGAGGUAGAGCACUGUUUGGGCUAGGGGUCUCACCAAGAUUACCAAACCCAUGCAAACUCCGAAUGCCAAUGGUUAAUUAUCCGGGAGUGAGUCUACGGGCGAUAAGGUUCGUGGACGAAAGGGAAACAGCCCAGACCGUCAGCUAAGGUCCCAAAGUAUAUGCUAAGUGGUAAAGGAUGAGAGACUGUUUAAACAGUCAGGAGGUUGGCUUAGAAGCAGCCAUCCUUUAAAGAAAGCGUAAUAGCUCACUGAUCGAGCGGUUUCUCGCCGAAGAUUUAACGGGGCUCAAGCAUAUCACCGAAGCUACGGAAGCUCAUUUAUGGGCUUGGUAGAGGAGCGUUCUGUUGUAGGUUGAAGUCAAUCCGUAAGGGUUGGUGGACGAAACAGAAGUGAAAAUGUCGGCAUGAGUAGCGAAAAAAUAAGUGAGAAUCUUAUUCGCCGAAAACCUAAGGUUUCCUGGGGAAGGCUCGUCCGCCCAGGGUUAGUCGAUACCUAAGUUGAGGCUGAAAAGCGUAGACGAUGGACAACCGGUUAAUAUUCCGGUACCACCUUAAAUUGUUUGACUGAUGGAGGGACGCAGAAGGAUAGGCCAGCCGGUUAUUGGAUUCCGGUUCAAGCCAGUAGGGAGAGAAAAUAGGCAAAUCCGUUUUCUUAUAUUCCGAGAGGUGAUGUGGAGCCCUUUUAGGGCGAACUGGUUGAUUCCACACUGACGAGAAAAGCUUCUAGGGAGAUUUAAGGUGAUCGUACUAAAACCGACACAGGUAGGUAGGGAGAAUAUCCUAAGGCGCGCGAGAGAACUCUCGUUAAGGAACUCGGCAAAUUAACUCCGUAACUUCGGAAGAAGGAGUGCCUCUGUAGUGUGAAAGCCCUGCGGCUGGAGCAUGAAGAGGUUGCAGAGAACAGGCCCUGGCGACUGUUUAACAAAAACACAGGUCUCUGCUAAACCGCAAGGUGAAGUAUAGGGGCUGACGCCUGCCCAGUGCUGGAAGGUUAAGGGGAUAUGUUAGCUCAGGCGAAGCAUUGAACUGAAGCCCCAGUGAACGGCGGCCGUAACUAUAACGGUCCUAAGGUAGCGAAAUUCCUUGUCGGGUAAGUUCCGACCCGCACGAAAGGCGUAACGACUUGGGCACUGUCUCAACGAGAGGCUCGGCGAAAUUGGAGUACCUGUGAAGAUACAGGUUACCCGCAGCAGGACAGAAAGACCCCGUGCAGCUUUACUGUAGUUUGGCUUUGUAUUUUUGGAUGUUAUGUGCAGGAUAAGUGGGAGGCUGUGAAAUCAUCUCGCUAGAGAUGGUGGAGCCAACGUUGAGAUACCACUCUUGAUAUUUGAAAAUACUAACUCUGACCCGUUAUCCGGGCAGAGAACAGAGUCAGAUGGGCAGUUUGACUGGGGCGGUCGCCUCCCAAAAGGUAACGGAGGCGCUCAAAGGUUCCCUCAGGACGAUUGGAAACCGUCCAUAGAGUGUAAGGGCAUAAGGGAGCUUGACUGUGAGAGGUACAUCUCGAGCAGGUACGAAAGUAGGACCUAGUGAUCCGGUGAUCCCGCGUGGAAGGGUCAUCGCUCAACGGAUAAAAGUUACGCCGGGGAUAACAGGCUUAUUCCUCCCAAGAGUUCACAUCGACGGAGGAGUUUGGCACCUCGAUGUCGGCUCGUCACAUCCUGGAGCUGGAGCAGGUUCCAAGGGUUGGGCUGUUCGCCCAUUAAAGUGGUACAUGAGCUGGGUUCAGAACGUCGUGAGACAGUUUGGUCCAUAUCCGCUGUGGGCGCAGGAAAUUUGAGGGGAGUUGUUCCUAGUACGAGAGGACCGGAACGAACAGACCUCUGGUGUAUCAGUUAUCGUGCCAACGGUACAUGCUGAGUAGCUACGUCUGGAACGGAUAAACGCUGAAGGCAUCUAAGCGUGAAGCCGACCCCAAGAUAAGAUUUCCCAUUCCGUAAGGAAGUAAGACCUCUUGAAGACUACAAGGUUGAUAGGCUGGGGGUAGAAGUGCAGUAAUGCAUGAAGCUGACCAGUACUAAUCGGUCGAGGUCUUGAUU